Molecule: long non-coding RNA, 484 nt
Filed under: Phasianus colchicus (ring-necked pheasant)
Lineage: Eukaryota; Metazoa; Chordata; Aves; Galliformes; Phasianidae
Description: lncRNA (ENSPCLG00000012798.1)
Source: RNAcentral
AGCACAGUUCAGAAGCUCGCAGCAAUUAACAUCAGCUUGAGAACAAAGUUGAACCCUCCGAACUCCAAAAACCAUGGUAAGUUUUUAUUUAUGCUAUCUAUCCUGGAAACUUGAGCUUUGGUUUCUUCCUGCUGAUCUCUAGGGGUUACAGAAUCAUCUCAAAAUCUGAACAAAUUGCAACGACGUGGAAAAAAAUAAGAGUGUCUUCAGCAUAAGUCUACGAACGCAUGCCAUAGCAGAAAUGUUUGCCAGCCACCCACUGUUCGGGCACAUUUCCCCUGUGGACUCCCAGUCAGGAUUGUGCCACUUUAAGAAGCAGCGAGUGGGAGGUGUGCAGGCACUGCAGUACAAACAAGUACCUGGGCACACUGCUGUGCUCACCUCUGAGCCUCACAUAGCUGAGGGGACAGCAGCCUCACAUUCCCUGUUCUGCCCUGCAAGCUCGGCACCACGUUUUCCAGCAAACAUCGAGGAAAGUGGAUAA